This 92-nucleotide ribosomal RNA is filed under the name Aponogeton desertorum. RNAcentral's name for it is "partial 18S ribosomal RNA". It matches the Rfam family "5.8S ribosomal RNA", at positions 68 to 154 of the family's 154-position model. From Rfam's summary of the family: 5.8S ribosomal RNA (5.8S rRNA) is a component of the large subunit of the eukaryotic ribosome. It is transcribed by RNA polymerase I as part of the 45S precursor that also contains 18S and 28S rRNA. Functionally, it is thought that 5.8S rRNA may be involved in ribosome translocation. Lineage: Eukaryota; Viridiplantae; Streptophyta; Magnoliopsida; Alismatales; Aponogetonaceae. The record is from RNAcentral.
UGAAUUGCAGAAUCCCGUGAACCAUCGAGUCUUUGAAUGCAAGUUGCGCCCAGAGCCUUCGGGCUGAGGGCACGCCUGCCUGGGCGUCACGC